Long non-coding RNA from Drosophila navojoa, 472 nucleotides. NCBI's taxonomy places the organism in Eukaryota, Metazoa, Arthropoda, Insecta, Diptera, Drosophilidae. The record is from RefSeq and is a predicted model, not a curated record.
UGUAUGUAUGAUAUCCUGGCCCAAAAGUCUGGGCUUGGAGUAAUGCGCCGCCAAUGCCAAUGCCAAUUGGCUCGCUGUUGUCGCCUGUCGAGUCAAUCGACAGUCGUCGCUAGUCGCUCGACAGCAGUCCAAGUCCAAAGACGUUGCCGUCGCAGAUGCUCGCCGCGCAGUUAGUUCAAUUGCUUCUUUUUUUUUUGUUACUGUUUAGCAGCCGCGCGAAGUAACGGCGACGCAUUAAAAUUAAACCGCAGGUAGAGACACAUCUCCGGCCGGGCACCUGAUGCAGCUAAUGCUCUCAAUACAUAGUUCACAAUGAGCUAAUGUAACAGGAGCAACAGCAGAAACAACAACAAGGCUAUUUGUACACUUGCAGAAAACAGUGCGACAAAGCAACAACAACAACAAUUACCUCCGCAUCGCAACGGCUGUACAAAUAUUAACAAAACAAAAAAACAUUAUACAUAUAAAAAAG